This 443-nucleotide ribosomal RNA is filed under the name uncultured bacterium. Its description in RNAcentral is "partial 16S ribosomal RNA". It matches the Rfam family "Bacterial small subunit ribosomal RNA", at positions 338 to 795 of the family's 1533-position model. The record is from RNAcentral.
CCUACGGGUGACAUCAGUGGGGAAUAUUGGACAAUGGGGGGAACCCUGAUCCAGCGACGCCGCGUGAGUGAAGAAGUAUUUCGGUAUGUAAAGCUCUAUCAGCAGGGAAGAAAGACAUGACGGUCCCUGACUAAGAAGCCCCUGCUAACUCCGUGCCAGCAGCCGCGGUACUACGUAGGGGGCAAUCGUUCUCCGGAUUUACUGGGUGUAAAGGGAGCGUAGACGGCGAUGCAAGUCUGAAGUAAAAGGCGGGGGCCCAACCUCCGGACUGCUUUGGAAACUGUAUGGCUGGAGUGCAGGAGAGGUAAGUGGAAUUCCUAGUGUAGCGGUGAAAUGCGUAGAUAUUAGGAGGAACACCAGUGGCGAAGGCGGCUUACUGGACUGUAACUGACGUUGAGGCUCGAAAGCGUGGGGAGCAAACAGGAUUAGAUACCCGAGUAGUC